GACGAACGCUGGCGGCGUGCUUAACACAUGCAAGUCGAACGGAAAGGCCCUGCUUUUGUGGGGUGCUCGAGUGGCGAACGGGUGAGUAACACGUGAGUAACCUGCCCUUGACUUUGGGAUAACUUCAGGAAACUGGGGCUAAUACCGGAUAGGAGCUCCUGCUGCAUGGUGGGGGUUGGAAAGUUUCGGCGGUUGGGGAUGGACUCGCGGCUUAUCAGCUUGUUGGUGGGGUAGUGGCUUACCAAGGCUUUGACGGGUAGCCGGCCUGAGAGGGUGACCGGCCACAUUGGGACUGAGGUACGGCCCAGACUCCUACGGGAGGCAGCAGUGGGGAAUAAUGCACAAUGGGCGGAAGCCUUAUGCAGCAACGCCGGGUGCGGGAUGACGGCCUUCGGGUUGUAAACCGCUUUCGCCUGUGACGAAGCGUGAGUGACGGUAAUGGGUAAAGAAGCACCGGCUAACUACGUG
Molecule: ribosomal RNA, 468 nt
Filed under: uncultured bacterium
Lineage: Bacteria
Description: partial 16S ribosomal RNA
Rfam family: Bacterial small subunit ribosomal RNA
Source: RNAcentral